GCGGAUUUAGCUCAGUUGGGAGAGCGUCAGACUGAAGUAUAAACUUUAGUCUCAGUUAAUCUGAAGGCCCUGUGUUCGAUCCACAGAAUUCGCA
Molecule: transfer RNA, 94 nt
Filed under: Nadsonia fulvescens var. elongata DSM 6958
Lineage: Eukaryota; Fungi; Ascomycota; Dipodascomycetes; Dipodascales
Rfam family: tRNA
About the family: Transfer RNA (tRNA) molecules are approximately 80 nucleotides in length. Their secondary structure includes four short double-helical elements and three loops (D, anti-codon, and T loops). Further hydrogen bonds mediate the characteristic L-shaped molecular structure. tRNAs have two regions of fundamental functional importance: the anti-codon, which is responsible for specific mRNA codon recognition, and the 3' end, to which the tRNAs corresponding amino acid is attached (by aminoacyl-tRNA synthetases). tRNAs cope with the degeneracy of the genetic code in two manners: having more than one tRNA (with a specific anti-codon) for a particular amino acid; and 'wobble' base-pairing, i.e. permitting non-standard base-pairing at the 3rd anti-codon position.
Source: Rfam by way of RNAcentral